UCAAGCUACAAAGGGCGCAUGGUGAAUGCCUUGGCAUCAGGAGCCGAUGAAGGACGUGAUAAGCUGCGAUAAGCUUCGGGUAGGCGCACAUAGCCUGAGAUCCGAAGAUCUCCGAAUGAGGAAACUCACAUGGGAAACCCCAUGUAUCAUUAAGUGAAUACAUAGCUUAAUGAAGGUAACCCAGGGAACUGAAACAUCUAAGUACCUGGAGGAAGAGAAAGAAAAAUCGAUUUUCUUAGUAGCGGCGAGCGAAAGGGAAAGAGCCCAAACCGGAAACUUGUUUCCGGGGUUGUGGACAUAGCAUUAAAGUGGAGGCUAUUGUAACUGAAGAGAACUGGAAAGUUCCACCGUAGAAGGUAAUAGUCCUGUAAGUGAAACGAGAAGACCACGAGUUAUGAUCCAGAGUACCACGAGACACGUGAAACCUUGUGGGAAGCAGGGAGGACCACCUCCCAAGGCUAAAUACUACCUGAUGACCGAUAGUGAAGCAGUACCGUGAGGGAAAGGUGAAAAGAACCCCGGGAGGGGAGUGAAAUAGAACCUGAAACCGUGUGCCUACAACCGCUCAGAGCCCCUUAUGAGGGUGAUGAGGUGCUUUUUGUAGAACGAGCCAACGAGUUACGGUAUGUAGCAAGGUUAAGUACUUAAGGUACGGAGCCGAAGGGAAACCGAGUCUGAAUAGGGCGACUAGUUGCAUGCCGUAGACCCGAAACCGGGUGACCUAUCCAUGGCCAGGUUGAAGCGAGGGUAAAACCUCGUGGAGGACCGAACCACGUUGCUGUUGAAAAAGCAUGGGAUGAGCUGUGGAUAGCGGAGAAAUUCCAAUCGAACCCGGAGAUAGCUGGUUCUCUCCGAAAUAGCUUUAGGGCUAGCGUCGAGUAUGAGUAGUGGAGGUAGAGCACUGAAUGGGCUAGGGGGCAUAGCGCUUACCGAACCUUAUCAAACUCCGAAUGCCACAUACUUUGAGCUCGGCAGUCAGACUACGAAUGAUAAGAUCCGUGGUCAAAAGGGAAACAGCCCAGAUCGUCAGCUAAGGUCCCAAAGUGUAAGUUAAGUGGGAAAGGAUGUGAGAUUUCUAAGACAACUAGGAUGUUGGCUUAGAAGCAGCCAUUCAUUAAAAGAGUGCGUAAUAGCUCACUAGUCGAGAGAUCUUGCGCCGAAAAUGUAACGGGGCUAAACUUACCACCGAAGCUACGGGCUUGAACUUAGUUCAAGCGGUAGGAGAGCGUCGUAACCGGGCUGAAGUCGUACCGUAAGGAGCGGUGGACUGGUUACGAGUGAGAAUGUUGGCAUCAGUAGCGAGAUGUGGGUGAGAAUCCCACAGGCCGAAAACCUAAGGUUUCCUCAGGAAGGUUCGUCCGCUGAGGGUUAGUCGGGACCUAAGCCGAGGCCGAAAGGCGUAGGUGAUGGACAACUGGUUGAUAUUCCAGUACCACUACCAUCGUUAUUAUCGAUGGCGUGACGCAGGAGGAUAGUGUGUGCUAGCUAUUGGAUGCUAGUCUAAGCGUUUAGGCAGUGAGAGUAGGCAAAUCCGCUCUCAUAAUGCUGAGGCGUGAUGGGGAAGGUUCUACGGAACCGAAGUACAUGAUUCCACGCUGCCAAGAAAAGCGUCUAGAGAGAGAAGUAGUGCCCGUACCGCAAACCGACACAGGUAGGUGAGGAGAGAAUCCUAAGGCCGGCGGAAGAAUUACAGUUAAGGAACUCGGCAAAUUGACCCCGUAAGUUCGCGAGAAGGGGUGCCUACGAGAGUAGGCCGCAGAGAAUAGGCCCAAGCAACUGUUUAGCAAAAACACAGGUCUCUGCUAAAGCGUAAGCUGAUGUAUAGGGGCUGACGCCUGCCCGGUGCUGGAAGGUUAAGGGGAACACUUAGCGCAAGCGAAGGUGUGAACUUAAGCCCCAGUAAACGGCGGCCGUAACUAUAACGGUCCUAAGGUAGCGAAAUUCCUUGUCAGGUAAGUUCUGACCCGCACGAAUGGCGUAAUGACUUGGGCACUGUCUCAACUGUAAAUCCGGCGAAGUUGUAGUGCGAGUGAAGAUGCUCGCUACCCGCGAUUGGACGGAAAGACCCCGUAGAGCUUUACUGUAGCUUAGCAUUGAGUUUUGGUAUUGUCUGUACAGGAUAGGUGGGAGACUAGGAAACCAGGGCGUCAGCCUUGGUGGAGUCAACCUUGGGAUACCACCCUGACAGUACUGAAAUUCUAACUGGCGGCCAUGAAUCUGGUCACAGGACAUUGUUAGGUGGGCAGUUUGACUGGGGCGGUCGCCUCCUAAAAAGUAACGGAGGCGCCCAAAGGUUCCCUCAGAACGGUCGGAAAUCGUUCGAAGAGUGCAAAGGCAGAAGGGAGCCUGACUGCGACACCCACAAGUGGAGCAGGGACGAAAGUCGGGCUUAGUGAUCCGGUGGUACCUCGUGGGAGGGCCAUCGCUCAACGGAUAAAAGCUACCUCGGGGAUAACAGGCUGAUCUCCCCCAAGAGUCCACAUCGACGGGGAGGUUUGGCACCUCGAUGUCGGCUCGUCGCAUCCUGGGGCUGAAGUAGGUCCCAAGGGUUGGGCUGUUCGCCCAUUAAAGCGGCACGCGAGCUGGGUUCAGAACGUCGUGAGACAGUUCGGUCCCUAUCCGUCGCGGGCGUAGGAAAUUUGAGAGGAGCUGUCCUUAGUACGAGAGGACCGGGAUGGACUGACCUCUGGUGUACCAGUUGUUCCGCCAGGAGCACAGCUGGGUAGCUAAGUCGGGAAUGGAUAAACGCUGAAAGCAUCUAAGCGUGAAGCCAACCUCAAGAUGAGAUUUCCCAUAGCGUAAGCUAGUAAGAUCCCUUGAAGAACACAAGGUUGAUAGGUCGGGGGUGUAAGCAUGGUAACAUGUUCAGCUGACCGAUACUAAUAGAUCGAGGGCUUGACCAA
RNAcentral lists this ribosomal RNA (2903 nucleotides) under Clostridium perfringens. RNAcentral's name for it is "bacterial LSU rRNA". It matches the Rfam family "Bacterial large subunit ribosomal RNA". Lineage: Bacteria; Bacillati; Bacillota; Clostridia; Eubacteriales; Clostridiaceae. The record is from RNAcentral.